AGAGUUUGAUCCUGGCUCAGGAUGAACGCUGGCGGCGUGCCUAAUACAUGCAAGUCGAGCGGAAAGGUCUCUUCGGAGAUACUCGAGCGGCGGACGGCUGAGUAACACGUAGGAACGUACCCCAAAGUGAGGGAUAACUGCUCGAAAGAGUAGCUAAUACCGCAUGUGAUCCACGGAUUAAAGCCUUCGGGCGCUAUGGG
Molecule: ribosomal RNA, 200 nt
Filed under: uncultured bacterium
Lineage: Bacteria
Description: partial 16S ribosomal RNA
Rfam family: Bacterial small subunit ribosomal RNA
Source: RNAcentral